UGCUGCGUUGUCUGCUAGCCACGGGGCCUCCGGAGCCGUGUGCGCAGGUUCGAAUCCUGCCGGGG
This 65-nucleotide transfer RNA is filed under the name Streptomyces scabiei 87.22. RNAcentral's name for it is "tRNA-Arg (CCG) (tRNA-Arg-CCG-2-1)". The record is from RNAcentral. Lineage: Bacteria; Bacillati; Actinomycetota; Actinomycetes; Kitasatosporales; Streptomycetaceae.